Molecule: transfer RNA, 68 nt
Filed under: Crypturellus soui
Lineage: Eukaryota; Metazoa; Chordata; Aves; Tinamiformes; Tinamidae
Description: tRNA-Glu
Source: RNAcentral
GUUCCUAUAGUUGAGAGUCAACGACAGUUUUUCAGAUUGUAGGCCCUGAGUUNAAUCAGGUGGGAAUA